UACGAAGGGGGCUAGCGUUGCUCGGAAUUACUGGGCGUAAAGGGCGCGUAGGCGGCCUUCUAAGUCAGACGUGAAAUCCCCCGGCUUAACCUGGGAACUGCGUCUGAUACUGGAAGGCUUGAGUUUGGGAGAGGGAUGCAGAAUUCCAGGUGUAGCGGUGAAAUGCGUAGAUAUCUGGAGGAAUACCGGUGGCGAAGGCGGCAUCCUGGACCAACACUGACGCUGAGGCGCGAAAGCUAGGGGAGCAAACGGG
This 253-nucleotide ribosomal RNA is filed under the name uncultured bacterium. Its description in RNAcentral is "partial 16S ribosomal RNA". It matches the Rfam family "Bacterial small subunit ribosomal RNA", at positions 524 to 776 of the family's 1533-position model. The record is from RNAcentral.